UNUGACUUGAGUGCAGAAGGGGAGAGUGGAAUUCCAUGUGUAGCGGUGAAAUGCGUAGAUAUAUGGAGGANCACCAGUGGCGAAAGCGGCUCUCUGGUCUGUCACUGACGCUGAGGCUCGAAAGCGUGGGUAGCGAACAGGAUUAGAUACCCUGGUAGUNCACGCCGUAAACGAUGAGUGCUAGGUGUUAGGCCCUUUCCGGGGCUUAGUGCCGGAGCUAACGCAAUAAGCACUCCGCCUGGGGAGUACGACCGCAAGGUUGAAACUCAAAGGAAUUGACGGGGGGCCGCACAAGCGGUGGAGCAUGUGGUUUAAUUCGAAGCAACGCGAAGAACCUUACCAGGUCUUGACAUCCCGAUGCUAUUCUUAGAGAUAGGAAGUUACUUCGGUACAUCGGAGACAGGUGGUGCAUGGUUGUCGUCAGCUCGUGUCGUGAGAUGUUGGGUUAAGUCCCGCAACGAGCGCAACCCUUAUUGUUAGUUGCCAUCAUUAAGUUGGGCACUCUAGCGAGACUGCCGGUAAUAAACCGGAGGAAGGUGGGGAUGACGUCAAAUCAUCAUGCCCCUUAUGACCUGGGCUACACACGUGCUACAAUGGUCGGUACAACGAGUUGCGAGCCGGUGACGGCAAGCUAAUCUCUGAAAGCCGAUCUCAGUUCGGAUUGGAGGCUGCAACUCGCCUCCAUGAAGUCGGAAUCGCUAGUAAUCGCGGAUCAGCACGCCGCGGUGAAUACGUUCCCGGGCCUUGUACACACCGCCCGUCACACCACGUGAGUUUGUAACACCCGAAGUCGGUGAGGUAACC
This 804-nucleotide ribosomal RNA is filed under the name uncultured bacterium. RNAcentral describes it as "bacterial SSU rRNA". It matches the Rfam family "Bacterial small subunit ribosomal RNA", at positions 636 to 1440 of the family's 1533-position model. The record is from RNAcentral.